RNAcentral lists this ribosomal RNA (446 nucleotides) under uncultured bacterium. RNAcentral describes it as "partial 16S ribosomal RNA". It matches the Rfam family "Bacterial small subunit ribosomal RNA", at positions 29 to 526 of the family's 1533-position model. The record is from RNAcentral.
AACGAACGCUGGCGGCAGGCUUAACACAUGCAAGUCGAGCGCCCCGCAAGGGGAGCGGCAGACGGGUGAGUAACGCGUGGGAAUCUACCCAGCUCUACGGAACAACUCCGGGAAACUGGAGCUAAUACCGUAUACGUCCUUCGGGAGAAAGAUUUAUCGGAGUUGGAUGAGCCCGCGUUGGAUUAGCUAGUUGGUGGGGUAAUGGCCUACCAAGGCGACGAUCCAUAGCUGGUCUGAGAGGAUGAUCAGCCACACUGGGACUGAGACACGGCCCAGACUCCUACGGGAGGCAGCAGUGGGGAAUAUUGGACAAUGGGCGCAAGCCUGAUCCAGCCAUGCCGCGUGAGUGAUGAAGGCCCUAGGGUUGUAAAGCUCUUUCACCGGUGAAGAUAAUGUCGGUAACCGGAGAAGAAGCCCCGGCCAACUUCGUGCCGCCGCUGUAAAAC